GGGCAGGGGGCUAUCUCGUCGACGAAACUUUCUUACACCUUGCAUUCACCGUAAGAAGUUGAGUGGCGGACGGGUGAGUAACACGUGGGUAACCUGCCUAAAAGAAGGGGAUAACACUUGGAAACAGGUGCUAAUACCGUAUAUCUCUAAGGAUCGCAUGAUCCUUAGAUGAAAGAUGGUUCUGCUAUCGCUUUUAGAUGGACCCGCGGCGUAUUAACUAGUUGGUGGGGUAACGGCCUACCAAGGUGACGUAGCCGAACUGAGAGGUUGAUCGGCCACAUUAGGACUGAGACACGGCCCAAACUCCUACGGGAGGCAGCAGUAGGGAAUCUUCCACAAUGGACGCAAGUCUGAUGGAGACGCCGCGUGAGUGAAGAAGGUCUUCGGAUCGUCUCUGUUGUUAGAGAAGAACACGAGUGAGAGUAACUGUUGAUUCGAUGACGGUAUCUAACCAGCAAGUCACGGCUAACUACGUGCCAGCAGCCGCGGUAAUACGUAGGUGGCAAGCGUUGUCCGGAUUUAUUGGGCGUAAAGGGAACGCAGGCGGUCUUUUAAGUCUGAUGUGAAAGCCUUCGGCUUAACCAGUGCAUUGGAAACUGGAAGACUUGAGUGCAGAAGAGGAGAGAGGAACUCCAUGUGUAGCGGUGAAAUGCGUAGAUAAAUGGAAGAACACCAGUGGCGAAAGCGGCUCUCUGGUUGUAACUGACGCUGAGGUUCGAAAGCGUGGGUAGCAAACAGGAUUAGAUAGUCCACGCCGUAAACGAUGAAUGCUAGGUGUGGGAGGGUUUCCGCCCUUCAGUGCCGCAGCUAACGCAAUAAGCAUUCCGCCUGGGGAGUACGACCGCAAGGUUGAAACUCAAAGGAAUUGACGGGGGCCCGCACAAGCGGUGGAGCAUGUGGUUUAACAACGCGAAGAACCUUACCAGGUCUUGACAUCCUUUGACCACCUAAGAGAUUAGGCUUUCCCUUCGGGGACAACGUGACAGGUGGUGCAUGGCUGUCGUCAGCUCGUGUCGUGAGAUGUUGGGUUAAGUCCGCAACGAGCGCAACCCUUGUUGUCAGUUGCCAGCAUUAAGUUGGGCAGCGAGACUGCCGGUGACAAACCGGAGGAAGGUGGGGACGACGUCAAGUCAUCAUGCCCCUUAUGACCUGGGCUACACACGUGCUACAAUGGACGGUACAACGAGUCGCGAGACCGCGAGGUUUAGCUAAUCUCUUAAAGCCGUUCUCAGUUCGGAUUGUAAGCUGCAACUACAUGAAGUCGGAAUCGCUAGUAAUCGCGAAUCAGCAUGUCGCGGUGAAUACGUUCCCGGGCCUUGUACACACCGCCCGUCACACCAUGAGAGUUUGUAACACCCAAAGCCGGGGGUAACCGCAAGAGCCAGGGAGGAAGCG
Molecule: ribosomal RNA, 1395 nt
Filed under: Ligilactobacillus salivarius
Lineage: Bacteria; Bacillati; Bacillota; Bacilli; Lactobacillales; Lactobacillaceae
Description: bacterial SSU rRNA
Rfam family: Bacterial small subunit ribosomal RNA
Source: RNAcentral